GCUAGUCUUUGUAGUAAUACAAGGCAUACGGCUCAGUAACGCGUAGUCAACCUACCCUAUGGACGGGGAUAAUCUCGGGAAACUGAGCAUAAUACCCGGCAGACCACUUAUCCUGGAAUGGUUAGUGGUUAAAAUGAUUCGUCGCCAUAGGAUGGGACUGCGGCCUAUCAGCUUGUUGGUGAGGUAAUAGCCCACCAAGGCGAUUACAGGUACGGGCUCUGAGAGGAGAGGCCCGGAGAUGGGUACUGAGACAAGGACCCAGGCCCUAUGGGGCGCAGCAGGCGAGAAAACUUUGCAAUGUGCGAAAGCACGACAAGGUUAAUCCGAGUGAUUUCUGCUAAAGGAAUCUUUUGUUAGUUCUAAAAAUACUAGUGAAUAAGGGGUGGGCAAGUUCUGGUGUCAGCCGCCGCGGUAAAACCAGCACCUCAAGUGGUCAGGAGGAUUAUUGGGCCUAAAGCAUCCGUAGCCUGUUCUAUAAGUUUGCGGUUAAAUCUAUACGCUCAACGUAUAGGCUGCCGUAAAUACUGUAGAACUAGGGAGUGGGAGAGGUAGACGG
RNAcentral lists this ribosomal RNA (556 nucleotides) under uncultured archaeon. RNAcentral describes it as "bacterial SSU rRNA". It matches the Rfam family "Archaeal small subunit ribosomal RNA", at positions 53 to 615 of the family's 1478-position model. The record is from RNAcentral.